GUGCCAGCCGCCGCGGUAAUACGGGGGGCGCAAGCGUUGUCCGGAAUCACUGGGCGUAAAGCGCGCGUAGGCGGCCAGGUCAGUCACCUGUGAAAUCCCGGAGCUCAACUUCGGGCCUGCAGGUGAUACUGCUUGGCUAGAGCAUGGUAGAGGCAAGUGGAAUUCCCGGUGUAGCGGUGGAAUGCGUGGAUCUCGGGAAGAACACCAGUGGCGAAGGCGACUUGCUGGGCCAUUGCUGACGCUGAGGCGCGAAAGCGUGGGUAGCAAACAGGAUUAGAUACCCUGGUAGUCCACGCCGUAAACGAUGGGUACUAGGCGUCGGGGGGAGCGACCCCUUCGGUGCCGCCGCUAACGCAGUAAGUACCCCGCCUGGGAAGUACGGCCGCAAGGCUGAAACUCAAAGGAAUUGACGGGGGCCCGCACAAGCGGUGGAGCAUGUGGUUUAAUUCGAUGCAACGCGAAGAACCUUACCUGGGCUUGACAUGUGCGGGAAAGCCGGUAGAAACAUCGGCCCCUCUUCGGAGUCCGUACACAGGUGCUGCAUGGCUGUCGUCAGCUCGUGUCGUGAGAUGUUGGGUUAAGUCCCGCAACGAGCGCAACCCUCGCCCUUAGUUGCCAGCGGUUCGGCCGGGGACUCUAGGGGGACUGCCGGUGUCAAACCGGAGGAAGGUGGGGAUGACGUCGAGUCAGCAUGGCCCUUAUGCCCAGGGCUACACACGUGCUACAAUGGCCGGUACAGAGCGUCGCUAGCUCGCGAGAGUCUGCUAAUCGCAAAAAGCCGGUCUAAGUUCGGAUUGCAGUCUGAAACUCGACUGCAUGAAGUUGGAAUCGCUAGUAAUCGUGGAUCAGCUACGCCACGGUGAAUACGUUCCCGGGCCUUGCACACACCGCCCGUC
This 896-nucleotide ribosomal RNA is filed under the name uncultured bacterium. RNAcentral describes it as "partial 16S rRNA". It matches the Rfam family "Bacterial small subunit ribosomal RNA", at positions 505 to 1398 of the family's 1533-position model. The record is from RNAcentral.